This 469-nucleotide ribosomal RNA is filed under the name uncultured bacterium. RNAcentral's name for it is "partial 16S ribosomal RNA". It matches the Rfam family "Bacterial small subunit ribosomal RNA", at positions 28 to 507 of the family's 1533-position model. The record is from RNAcentral.
GACGAACGCUGGCGGCGUGCUUAACACAUGCAAGUCGAACGAUGAUCUCCCGCUUGCGGGGGUGAUUAGUGGCGAACGGGUGAGUAAUACGUGAGUAACCUGCCCUUGACUCUGGGAUAAGCCUGGGAAACCGGGUCUAAUACUGGAUACUACUUCCUGCCGCAUGGUGGGGGGUGGAAAGGGUUUUACUGGUUUUGGAUGGGCUCACGGCCUAUCAGCUUGUUGGUGGAGUAAUGGCUCACCAAGGCGACGACGGGUAGCCGGCCUGAGAGGGUGACCGGCCACACUGGGACUGAGACACGGCCCAGACUCCUACUGGAGGCAGCAGUGGGGAAUAUUGCACAAUGGGCGGAAGCCUGAUGCAGCGACGCCGCGUGAGGGAUGACGGCCUUCGGGUUGGAAACCUCUUUCAGCAGGGAAGAAGCCACAAGUGACGGUACCUGCAGAAGAAGCGCCGGCUAACUACGUG